RNAcentral lists this ribosomal RNA (369 nucleotides) under uncultured bacterium. RNAcentral describes it as "bacterial SSU rRNA". It matches the Rfam family "Bacterial small subunit ribosomal RNA", at positions 527 to 896 of the family's 1533-position model. The record is from RNAcentral.
GUAGGGUGCGAGCGUUAAUCGGAAUUACUGGGCGUAAAGCGUGCGCAGGCGGUUCUGCAAGUCAGAUGUGAAAUCCCCGGGCUUAACCUGGGAACUGCGUUUGAAACUACGGAGCUAGAGUACGGCAGAGGGGGGUGGAAUUCCACGUGUAGCAGUGAAAUGCGUAGAUAUGUGGAGGAACACCGAUGGCGAAGGCAGCCCCCUGGGCCGAUACUGACGCUCAGGCACGAAAGCGUGGGGAGCAAACAGGAUUAGAUACCUUGGUAGUCCACGCCCUAAACUAUGUCAACUAGUUGUCGGGGAAGCAAUUCCUUGGAAACGAAGCUAACGCGUGAAGUUGACCGUCUGGGGAGUACGGUCGCAAGAUUA